GACGAACGCUGGCGGCGUGCCUAAUACAUGCAAGUCGAACGAACGGAUAAAGAGCUUGCUCUUUUGAAGUUAGUGGCGACGGGUGAGUAACACGUGGGUAACCUGCCUCACAGCUGGGGAUAACAUCGAGAAAUCGAUGCUAAUACCGAAUGUGCUGAACAUCAUAAGAUGUUCAAGUGAAAGACGGUUUCGGCUGUCACUGUGAGAUGGACCCGCGCUGGAUUAGCUAGUUGGUAAGGUAAUGGCUUACCAAGGCGACGAUCCAUAGCCGACCUGAGAGGGUGAUCGGCCACAUUGGGACUGAGACACGGCCCAAACUCCUACGGGA
Molecule: ribosomal RNA, 328 nt
Filed under: uncultured bacterium
Lineage: Bacteria
Description: bacterial SSU rRNA
Rfam family: Bacterial small subunit ribosomal RNA
Source: RNAcentral